GAUGAACGCUGGCGGCGUGCCUAAUACAUGCAAGUCGAGCGAACGGACGAGAAGCUUGCUUCUCUGAUGUUAGCGGCGGACGGGUGAGUAACACGUGGAUAACCUACCUAUAAGACUGGGAUAACUUCGGGGAACCGUAGCUAAUACCGGAUAAUAUUUUGAACCGCAUGGUUCAAAAGUGAAAGACGGUCUUGCUGUCACUUAUUGAUGGAUCCGCGCUGCAUUAGCUAGUUGGUAAGGUAACGGCUUACCAAGGCAACGAUGCAUAGCCGACCUGAGAGGGUGAUCGGCCACACUGGAACUGAGACACGGUCCAGACUCCUACGGGAGGCAGCAGUAGGGAAUCUUCCGCAAUGGGCGAAAGCCUGACGGAGCAACGCCGCGUGAGUGAUGAAGGUCUUCGGAUCGUAAAACUCUGUUAUUAGGGAAGAACAUAUGUGUAAGUAACUGUGCACAUCUUGACGGUACCUAAUCAGAAAGCCACGGCUAACUACGUG
RNAcentral lists this ribosomal RNA (497 nucleotides) under uncultured bacterium. RNAcentral's name for it is "partial 16S ribosomal RNA". It matches the Rfam family "Bacterial small subunit ribosomal RNA", at positions 28 to 507 of the family's 1533-position model. The record is from RNAcentral.